This is an RNA transcript of Budorcas taxicolor (takin), 4658 nucleotides long. It is a transcript of the gene named inverted formin 2, with no coding region annotated. The transcript is spliced from 24 exons. The record is from RefSeq and is a predicted model, not a curated record. Lineage: Eukaryota; Metazoa; Chordata; Mammalia; Artiodactyla; Bovidae.
CCGCAAGGUGGGCCGGCAGCCCGCGGCCCCCUCAUCCGACCCGGACCAAACGCCGGCCCCAUCCCCGCCCUCGGCCGCCGUCCCUGUUUGUUGAGCAAGAUGUCGGUGAAGGAGGGCGCGCAGCGCAAGUGGGCGGCGCUGAAGGAGAAGCUGGGGCCGCAGGACUCGGACCCCACGGAAGCCAACCUGGAGAGCGCCGAGCCCGAGCUCUGCAUCCGGCUGCUGCAGGUGCCCUCCGUGGUCAACUACUCGGGGCUGCGCAAGCGGCUGGAGGGCAGCGACGGCGGCUGGAUGGUGCAGUUCCUGGAGCAGAGCGGCCUGGACCUGCUCCUGGAGGCCCUGGCGCGCCUGUCGGGCCGCGGCGUGGCUCGCAUCGCCGACGCCCUGCUGCAGCUCACGUGCGUCAGCUGCGUGCGCGCCGUAAUGAACUCCCAGGAGGGUAUCCGGUACAUUCUCAGCAACCAGGCCUACGUGCGCCAGCUCUCCCUGGCUCUGGACACGUCCAACGUGAUGGUCAAGAAGCAGGUGUUUGAGCUGCUGGCCGCCCUGUGCAUCUACUCGCCCGAGGGCCACGCCCUGACCCUGGACGCCUUGGACCAUUACAAGACGGUGUGCGGCCAGCAGUACCGCUUCAGCGUCAUCAUGAGCGAGCUCUCGGACAGCGACAACGUGCCCUACGUGGCCACCCUGCUCAGCGUGGUCAACGCCAUCAUCCUCGGCCCCGAGGACGUCCGCGCCCGCGCCCAGCUGCGCAGCGAGUUCAUCGGGCUGCAGCUGCUGGACGUCCUGACACGGCUUCGAGACCUGGAGGAUGGGGACCUGCUGAUCCAGCUCGAGACCUUCAGGGAGGCCAAGGCCGAGGACGAGGAGGAGCUGCUGCGGGCCUUCGGCGGCAUCGACAUCAACAGCCACCAGGAGGUCUUCUCCGCGCUCUUCCACAAGGUGAGCUGCUCCCCGGCGUCUGCCCACCUGCUCUCGGUGCUGCAGGGCCUCCUGCACCUGGAGCCCAGCCUCCGCUCCAGCCAGCUGCUCUGGGAGGCCCUGGAGAGCCUGGUGAACCGGGCGGUGCUCCUGGCCACAGACGGCCAAGAGUGCACCCUGGAGGAGAUGGUUGAACGCCUCCUGUCCAUCAAGGGGCGGCCCCGCCCCCGCUCCCUGGACAAGGCCCACAAGAGCACCCAGGCCGACCUUGGCCAGAGCCAAAGGGGCAGCUCCCCGCAAAACUCUGGCGCCCCGACAGCAGACCUGGGUGGCCAGCAGCCAGCCGCGGCCCUCGGCAGCCCUCUCGUCGCCAGCAACCAGGGCGAGCGCGGGCCUGCACCGCAGCCAACAGCCCCAGAGCAGCUGGAGCGACCCCCGCCCCCACCGGCGCCCCCGCUCCCUGGCCCCACGACCGCGCCCCCUCCCCCGCCCCCUCCCCCACCUCCCCCUCCGCCGCCGCCCCCGCCCCUGCCGAGCAUGAGGGCUGCAUUCCCCUCGCCCCCGCCGCCCCCGCCACCCCCACUGCCUAACUCUGCUGGGACCAUACCGCCCCCACCUCCCCUCCCGGGCCUGGGGGGCCCGCCCCCGCCGCCGCCCCUGCCCUGCGUCUCCGGGCCCCCUGCCGUGGGCGACGUGGAGGAGAUCAUCGUGGCCCAGGUGGACAGCGGCCUGGGCUCGGCCUGGGUCCCCCGCCACCGGCGCGUGAACCCUCCCACCCUGCGCAUGAAGAAGUUGAACUGGCAGAAGCUGCCAUCCAGCGUGGCCCGCGAGCACAGCUCCAUGUGGGCGACGUUGAGCAGCCCCGACGCCGAGGUGGUGGAGCCCGACUUCUCCAGCAUCGAGCGGCUCUUCUCCUUCCCCACGGCCAAACCCAAGGAGCAGGCGGUGGCCCCGGCCAGGAAGGAGCCCAAGGAGAUCACUUUUCUGGACUCCAAGAAGAGCCUGAACCUCAACAUCUUCCUAAAGCAGUUUAAAUGCUCCAACGAGGAGGUCACUGCCAUGAUCCGGGCGGGGGACAGCACCAAGUUCGACGUGGAGGUCCUCAAGCAGCUCCUCAAGCUCCUUCCGGAGAAGCACGAGAUUGAGAACCUGCGCUCCUUCACGGAGGAUCAGGCCAGGCUCGCCAGCGCCGACCAGUUCUACCUCCUCCUGCUGAGCAUCCCCUGCUACCAGCUUCGGAUCGAGUGCAUGCUGCUGUGUGAGGGCACGGCCGUCGUGUUGGACAUGGUGCGGCCUAAGGCCCAGCUGCUGCUCGCCGCCUGUGAGAGCCUGCUCACCAGUCGCCGGCUGCCGGUCUUCUGCCAGCUGAUCCUGAAAAUCGGGAACUUUCUCAACUACGGCAGCCACACUGGGGACGCCGAUGGAUUCAAGAUAAGCACACUGCUGAAGCUCACGGAGACCAAGUCCCAGCAGAGCCGGGUCACACUGCUGCACCACAUGCUGGAGGAAGUGGAGGAGAGCCACCCUGACCUCCUGCAGCUACCCCAGGACCUGGAGCUGCCUGCCCGAGCCGCAGGGAUCAACCUUGAUGCCGUCCACUCGGAGUCCAGCACUAACCUGAAGAAGCUCCUGGAGAUGGAGCGGAAGGUGUCCUCCUCCAUCCCGGAGGUGCAGGAGCAGUACACCCACCGCCUCCAGGCCAGUAUCACAGACUCACAGGCUCUGGAGGAGGUGUUCCAGGUUAUCGAGCAGAAGCAGCUGGAGCUGGCUAGUUACCUGUGUGAGGAUGCCCAGCAGCUGUCCCUGGAGGACACGCUCAGCACCAUGAAAACCUUCCGGGAUCUCUUCCUCCGCGCCCUGAAGGAGAACAAGGAUCGGAAGGAGCAGGCGGCCAAGGCUGAGAGGAGGAAGCAGCAGCUGGCGGAGGAGGAGGCCCGCAGGCCGCGGGCCGCGGGCGGCAAGGCAGCCAGGAGAGGAGGCGGGAAGCAGGAAGAGGUGUGUGUCAUCGACGCCCUGCUGGCUGACAUCAGGAAGGGCUUCCAGCUGCGUAAGACGGCCCGCGGCCGAGGGGACGCAGAGGCAGCCAGCAGGGCACCCACCACCGACCCCCCGAGGAACAAGGCACCUGCCACCACCAGGGAUGCCGUGGGAGGUGCCAGCCCCCCCAGCUCUGAGCCUGGUCUGGAUGCUGCAGCCGCCAGGGAGCCCCAGAGCUGGGACCUCGCGGAUGCCACUCCCACCAGCCUCCAGCCCACUGGAGACUCAUCAGAGAUGGGUGGCCCUGGGUCCCUGGAGAGGCGCUCUUCCUGGUACACAGAUGCCAGUGAUUUCCUGCCCAUGGAGGACCCCCAGGGCCCCCAGCCCCCUGCAGGGGCUUGGCCAGUGGUACUGGGAGACGCUCAAGUCCUGAAGCCCCUCGACUUCAGUGCCCAGCCCCCCAAAGCCAUGGAUCUGAGGCCAGACGCUGAGGAGCCCCUGGCCGCGCUGGGUGCCUGCCAGGCCGAGGCCAGCAGCACAGAUGAGGGCCCGGAGGAUGCAGCUGCCCACUGCCGCCACGCCGGCCUCCCCGCUGCAGGCCCUGAUGAGGACGGGGACGGGGAGCUCACGGCCCCAGACUCCGCGCUGGACACCUCCCUGGACAGGUCCUUCUCCGAGGAUGCGGUGACUGACUCGUCGGGGUCCAGCACCCUCCCCAGGGCUCAGGGCCGGACGUCAAAGGGCACAGGCAAACGGAGGAAGAAACGCCCCUCCAGGAACCAGGAAGAGGUUGCCCCCGACCCUGACGAUAAUAAAACAAAAAGGCUCUGUGUGAUCCAGUGAGACCAGUUUGAGUCGUCAGGACAUGCUGCCCCUGGGCUCGUCCCUGGCCCCCAGGCCUCAGGCCCAGGUCCAGAGCCAAGUGAGAGGAGCCAUGGCAAGGCUGCUGGGUGAGCUGCUGGGCGGGGCCCCGGGCCAGGCUGGGCCAGCCCCCAGGAAGCCCAGACUCCGUGCCUUACCCGGCCUCACCGCGGCCUCUCGGAGCCUAGGGCCGUUGAGGCCAGGACCCCCUGGCGCCCCCUGGCCUGCCUGCACGCCCCUGCCCUCGUGGUUUGCUUCCUAAAUGCCGCUGCCCAGCCCCGACCCACACGGCAUGCACCACCCAGGGCGGACGGCCAAGUGGCUGCAUCCGGGGCACCCCGAGCUUGUGACCUGGCUCCCAGAUUACCCUGGGGAUAGGCCCUCACAGACCUCCCGCCGAAGCGACGGAGCCAGGGAGGACCGGAGCCCCCGCUCCACAGCUCUGCCCCCAACUCACUCAGCUGGGCUGAAGCAGUCGUUUUUUAACUGAAAUGGGAUGAUUUGUGGGUUUCUACUGUUUUGUGUGGCUGAGCUGGGGACAGGUAGGUGGGUGAGAGGACCCAGGGCCUUUGGGUAGAGGCAGGCUGUCUGGCCGUGCACGGGAGAGCCAGGGCCCCUCUACUCAGAAGAGGGGGAACCCCAUGGAAUCGGCACCCAUCCCCACACCUCCAGCCCUGAGGUGGGGAGGGGGCUGCCCUUGGGGUCCCUUCGUCAACAAGACACGCGGCCUGCAACUGCUGCCCCCUCCUCCAGGCCCCACUGGGCUGAGGGGAGGCCAGGAUCCAGGCUGAGGGGCCAGAGGGGCUGCCAUCUCUCCUCACUGACCUGUGGGCCCCUUGCACUGCCCCCACCCUAUGUGUGUGUGCUACCAAGACUGGAGAAACUUUGGCCAAUAAAGA